Molecule: ribosomal RNA, 1210 nt
Filed under: Diffalaba opiniosa
Lineage: Eukaryota; Metazoa; Mollusca; Gastropoda; Litiopidae
Description: partial 16S ribosomal RNA
Rfam family: Bacterial large subunit ribosomal RNA
Source: RNAcentral
AUAGUUUUACCAUCUCUGUUUUCUACAUUUGUUUAUUUGAUACAUCAAAAAACUAAGUAAAGGAGAAAGAAGUAGUAUAUAAAAACGUUAAGUACCGCGAGGAAAAAGUAAUUUAAAAGUAAACAGCUGAUUAAAAGCGUACUUUUAGCAUCACGGCCUUGCAAGAGACCUCUAAAGAACUUAGCCUUCUCGAAAACUGACGAGCUAUUUUUAACCAGCCUUUUAGGGCUUAUGCCUGUAUUGCGCUUGUAAAUGUGACAAAAUUUUAAUAAGAGGUAAAAAUAGAUAUAAUACGUAACCCGCGUCAGCGAUAGCUAGUUCCUCCUGAAAAGCAUAUAAGUGCUGCGCUGAUCUUUGUUUCAAGUACUACAUUAGUAAUGAAACGAAUUCCGCAGUGAAUUAUCUAAGGAUAAGCUUAGAUAAUUUAGGGAGAUAUUUAUCUCGUUUAUUUUCUUUGUAGGCCUGAAAUUAGCCACCAUAAAUAAGUUUGUUAUAAAUUAAACUUUCUAAGACGAAAAAUACCUGUAUUUUCAAACCCUAAAGCUAAGGAGGUGUAAGCUAUAAUUAAUAUGUAGUUUANUACCUAUGCUAGGAUGAGUAUUUUACUUAAAAUUGUUUAAAGGUUCUCAGAUAAAACCUUUUGUAAAAUAAAUAUUUAAAAAUAGAAUUAAGAAAAAGGAACUCGGCAAACUUUUGCCUCGCCUGUUUAUCAAAAACAUCGCUCCUUGUAUUUAAAAAAAUAAAGGAGUUGAACCUGCCCAGUGAAAAUUUUUAACGGCCGCGGUACUCUGACCGUGCAAAGGUAGCAUAAUCAUUUGCCUUAUAAUUGAAGGCUAGUAUGAAUGGUUUGACGAGGGCAAUGCUGUCUCUAUCUUAAUAAAUAGAACUUGACAUAUAGGUGAAGAGGCCUAUUUAAUAUUGAAGGACAAGAAGACCCUGUCGAGCUUAAAGUGUUAUAUAGAUAUAAAUAUUCUUCAAAAUAAAAUUCUUUUACACACUUUUAGUUGGGGCGACUAGGGAACAAACAAAGCUUCCCUUAAAGAAAAAACGGACUAGUUAUGAUCCAGCACUGGCUGAUCGAAGGAAUUAGUUACCGCAGGGAUAACAGCAUAAUCUCUCUUGAGAGGCCUAAUCGAAAGAGGGGGUUGUGACCUCGAUGUUGGACUAGAAUAUCCUGAAGGUGCAGAAGUCUUCGUGGGUUGGUCUGUUC